This 297-nucleotide ribosomal RNA is filed under the name Triticum aestivum (bread wheat). Its description in RNAcentral is "partial small subunit ribosomal RNA". Lineage: Eukaryota; Viridiplantae; Streptophyta; Magnoliopsida; Poales; Poaceae. The record is from RNAcentral.
AUGGCCAACUAUAGCAGCUGCUUCCAUACAUCAAUCAUACUCUCGAUGCUUCUUCUCAUAUGUUUUGCUACCCAUGCACAAUGCAGAAUCUUGGAAGACAUGAAAGCAAUUAGGGUCAAUAUACCAGGUGGUCUGUGCGCCCGUGCUCGGGGCUGCAAAGACGUAUGCAUAUGUUGUUUAGUAAAGGAUUCCUGCUAUGAUUCAUUUGAUGAAUGCCUGGCCGACUGUCCAAAAGCUUCUCCGUUAGACCCAGCGGCAGCGAUGAAUCGUUCUCCAUCACCAUCCUAUCUAAUCUAG